This 156-nucleotide unclassified non-coding RNA is filed under the name uncultured Botryosphaeriales. Its description in RNAcentral is "sequence contains ITS2". Lineage: Eukaryota; Fungi; Ascomycota; Dothideomycetes; Botryosphaeriales. The record is from RNAcentral.
UCAACCAUCAAGCUCUGCUUAGUACUGGGCGUCGUCCCGCGUGGACGUGCCUUAAACGCCUCGGCGGUGGUCUCAAACUUCAAGCGUAGUAGAAUACCUUUAUUUAGCUUUCUAGGUUUGGGGCCGCUUUUGCCUCUAGCAACCAUUUUACCUCAA